This 426-nucleotide ribosomal RNA is filed under the name uncultured bacterium. Its description in RNAcentral is "partial 16S ribosomal RNA". It matches the Rfam family "Bacterial small subunit ribosomal RNA", at positions 354 to 796 of the family's 1533-position model. The record is from RNAcentral.
GUGGGGAAUAUUGGACAAUGGGCGAAAGCCUGACGGAGCAAUGCCGCGUGAAGGAUGAAGGCCUAUGGGUUGUAAACUUCUUUUCUCAGAAAAGAAUUAUGACGGUAUCUGAGGAAUAAGCAUCGGCUAACUCUGUGCCAGCAGCCGCGGUAAGACAGAGGAUGCAAGCGUUAUCCGGAAUGAUUGGGCGUAAAGCGUCUGUAGGUUGUUUAAAAAGUAUUCUGUCAAAGAUUAGGGCUUAACCCUAGAUAGGCAGAAUAAACUUUUAAGCUAGAGUUUGGUAGAGGCAGAGGGAAUUCCCGGUGGAGCGGUGAAAUGCGUAGAUAUCGGGAGGAACACCAAAGGCGAAGGCACUCUGCUGGGCCAAUACUAACACUGAGAGACGAAAGCGAGGGGAGCAAAUGGGAUUAGAAACCCGUGUAGUCC